GAUGAAGAACGUAGCGAAAUGCGAUAAGUAAUGUGAAUUGCAGAAUUCAGUGAAUCAUCGAAUCUUUGAAUGCACAUUGCGCCCCCUGGUAUUCCGGGGGGCAUGCCUGUUCGAGCGUCAUUUCAACCCUCAAGCUCUGCUUGGUAUUGAGUCCAUGUCAGCAAUGGCAGGCUCCAAAAUCAGUGGCGGCGCCGCUGGGUCCUGAACGUAGUAAUAUCUCUCGUUACAGGUGCUCGGCGUGCUUCUGCCAAAACCCCAAUUUUUCUAUGGUUGACCUCGGAUCAGGUAGGGAUACCCGCUGAACUUAAGCAUAUCAAUAAGCGGAGGA
RNAcentral lists this unclassified non-coding RNA (328 nucleotides) under soil metagenome. RNAcentral's name for it is "partial contains 5.8S ribosomal RNA, internal transcribed spacer 2, and large subunit ribosomal RNA". The stretch from base 1 to 120 matches the Rfam family "5.8S ribosomal RNA", at positions 35 to 154 of the family's 154-position model. The record is from RNAcentral.